UUACUUUUGUUGCAAAUUGCUUUUGGCAUCUUGGUCAUAAAACCUUUGCCUAUACCCAUGUCCUGAAUGGUAUUGCCUAGGUUGGUGUCUAGGGUGUUUUGUAAUUUGGGGUUUUACAUUUAAGUCUUUAUUAAACACUCUCAUGUCUUAAUCUUCUCAUUAUCAUAAAUAAUAAACAUUCUACCUGCAUAAAGUCCAGACUUUGCUCAAAUACACCCUUUAGUCUUCACAGUUCCUGAAGCCCCUUUCAGUCUUACUCCCCAACAAAUCCCCUAUCAAGUAGCUUUAUUUUAUCCAACAUACCAAUAUUUGGUGAUUUCUUCAGGCCAGGCAAUAUCCCAGAGACUGAAUAAUUUGCUGGAGAAACUUGUGAAGCACAGAGGUAGAUUCCCAUGAAAUAAAGGCUUGCUAAUUGAAACUGGUGAAUUAUUAUUUCACCAACAAAAUAAAACUGAUAACUUACUGUGAGAUGGAUGGUAGGAUUAAACUCUGUUUUAAAAAGUAAAUUAGAUGCAGACAAGUUUGGAAGUAAAGAAUGUCAUAGGAAUGAAUGGGUCCUAUUUGAAGACUCGACGGACUCUUUUUCAUUUCUCGUCUUCCUCCCCUACUCUGCAGGAUUCUAUUUAUGUGCUCAGCCCUUCUGUGACAUACUCUUUCCCCUUGGUUUCCAUGAAGGAACACUCUUCAAGUUCUGCUUUGACAAACUGCAUUAAAAAAAAAUUUUUACCUUUUAUUUCCUAACUCCUUAAACACAUGCAUUUCCCCAAGUCUUCUCCUUGCCCAUAAUCUCAUUCAAUAUGAAGAAUAUAGCUAAAACUCUAUCAACUCAAUUUACUACAAUCUUAAGUACCUAAGUUUCCCAGGCAACCCAUCUCUUUUUAUUUUCAUCCUCUUAUCUAUCCAAAUUCAACUUGAAAGCCUUAUAAUGUCUUAUUCUGUUUGGCUCUCCAACAUGAUUUAGUGGAGUUUAGCAUCAGAAUUAGUCAAGUCUGCAAAAAGUUUCUUAAAUAUUUCUCCUUAUCUUAAAAAUCCAAUGCUGCACAUAGUCUUGUUUGGCCUAUAUUAUUUAGUAAUAUUUUAGGGCAUGUCACCCAGCAUCAGUUUCUCUCAAUAACCACCCGAUCCUUUGCGUUUCAUUUUACUUGUGGUUUUAAAACACUUUUCCUAAAGUUUGAGUCAGAUACUGUCAUUUCACUGCCCCUCAACUAAUGCAGAAUAGACUGUAUAAAGAGAUUGGUAAAGGCCAAUCUCUUUGGCCCAGCAUGUAAGACCCUCCAUUGCUCUGCUAAAGUUCAUGGCAUGAUAUUUUAUAUCAUAGUAUUUGUGCACAUGUCUUUCAUAUCCCCAAACUGUACUAGUUUCCUGGAAGACAUGUUCCAUAUUUAAUUCAUCCUUGUUUUUUCCGAGUAACAUAAUGCCUGCUUUGGGUUGUUACCUAAGGUGCUUGUAUAUGUUUGUUGAAUAAACAAUUGUGUUUGAAAGUCUGAGCCAAAAGACCCCCCCACCCAAUCUUCCCUUUCUUCUCCCCUUCUUCAUUUCAGUAAAAGAGUACAUAUCUUAAAGUAGUUCCUUUCUUUUUUUAAAGGGUAAAUUUAGUGAUUGUCUUUAAUUAAAUAUAUUUCUUCUGGGGGGAGGUGAAUGGCAGUUCUUUUGUGAGAUAGAAAGGUCUUUCUAGCCUUCUAAAUUAGAAUUUGGAAUUAAUUUUCAAGUUAGGAAAAAUGUAUAUGUUGGUUAGGUGUAGUUAAAGUAAGGCAAUUAACACAAUAUUUCAGAGGUGGGGAAAGAAAACAUUGAGGACUAUUUUGAGAACCAAACUACAAUUACUGCAAUCUCUAUAGAGAAAUGUUCCCCAAACUUCAAAAAAUGAUUAAUGGUAAGCUUUUUAAUACAACAUAUACAUAACUUGGAUUGCUAAUAUGCAGCUGAAAUAGAUAUAAGGAGAUUUAUUUUAUUACAGUGGAUAUUUGGUUUAUAAACAAAAAUAUUAAAAACCUGCCUUUGGAGAAAAAAGUUGCUUAAAAUGCUAAAUAUUUUAUGAAUUCAAAACCAUUUCUGUCAAAUUUUCCAAUAUGAGUUAUAUUAAGUCCAAUAUCCUUACCUCACUUUCAAUUUUCUAAGGUUAUUAUAUCUAGCUUAAAUAUAAUAUUUUGAAUUUCUAUGACUUAGCCCAUAUUUAGAAAUAGCUCUUUGCCUACAAAAAUAGACUAAAAAGGUAAUUGUACCCUUUAAACUUUAAAACAACUUUAUCCUGGCUUUUGUUUAAAAUUGUGGAAAAAGUCAGAAUUAGUUCUUUUUUGGUACAAAGCUCACAUCUCUUACCCAUUUGCUAGUUUUAAUUUUGUUUUGUUUUGUUUUGUUUUCUUUGAGAAUAUCAGAAAUACUUGGCAUCAGUUUUGUGAAUAACUUUCCAGAUGUUGCACCACUGGUUAUCGGUAUAAAUGUGCUUGCAGUAUUUAAUUGGUGCUGUUAAUUCAACUCAGGAUCCUGUUUAUUUUCCUAAUUGCUGCCAGACAUUGAACGGGUGGUUAAUAUAUUAGAAAUCUCCUGUUUUCCUGAACCUUUGCCUUACCCACUGGCAAUUUUGUUAGGGAGAAAAAUGUGCUUUUCAUUUACUUUUCCUACCUUGAAAGCACUUGCAUAAGCUCUGGCAAUAUCUUAUUCUGAAGACAGUACUUGAAAAAUGUUUUCCACUUGCAUCUUUCUGCAUGACAGUACCACCUCAUUUCAUUUAUUGUAAAUAUGUGACAAACUAUUAUUAUAUGCAUAUUAUAUAAUAGUAUUAUUCUCAUGACAAAAAAGGCACUUUUAAUAAUUUAACAUUGUCAGAUACUGACUAUGAGCUAUGCUCAACAAUAACAAAGAUUUGGAAAAUAAGGGUCCUGUAAGUGGUAGCACACGAAAUAUGUGAAGUGAUCAAUAAAAACACAAUAAGAUAGGUACUGUAGUAGACAUGGCCACAGGACGCUAUAGAGCACAAAAGAGAUGAGGCAGAGUGGCUAUCAGAACCUUCCAUCUUGUAAAAUUUAACGAGAUUUUUGUUUCAUGUUUCACCAUAUAAAUAACUGAGAAAUGAUGUAAGAAGGGAUCAUUUUGAUAUCUUAUUUUGAGCACACUACUUAUUUCUGUUUACUUCAAUGUUUUCUUUUUUUUUCUUUUCUCUUUCUUUUUUUUUCAAGACAGGGUCUUACUCUGUUGUCCAGGCUGGAGUGUGGUGGCUCCAUCAUGAUCACAUCAUCAUUGUGAUCUCAAGCUCCUGGGCUUAAGUGAUACUUAUGUGUCAGCCUCCUAUAGUUUGGAGAUGAAGGUUAAUGGACUGAUGGUGAUGGAAAAGAUAGCUCAGAGAUAUUUCAAGCAGGCUGCAAGAAUCUCCCAAUUUCGUCCAUCACAAAUCCAUCGUUGAUCCUGGAUGCAGGCUUCAGCUGGCAAAGGAAAGGAAAUACAGAGUUCAAAGCAAGUUUUAUUGUUAAGAUUACAUAGCAUCCUUCGGUUCUCCAAUUUGACUCUGGGAAGCUCUGUUCCCAAGCUACCAAGUGUCUGAGACUACACCUACUUGCUCAAUAGCUUAUCAUGACUAAUGACCAUGGAUGAUGUCCCUGAAGACAAGAGUCCACAGAUACACAUUUUGGAUAUGCCACCUAGAGAUGAUGUAAGUGUUGUCAAGUUUCCUUUCCUGGAUUUUAUGUUCUUCAGGAUGAGAAACAGAAGUACAUAAUUUGGCAAAAAGAAAAGUGAUUCUCCUUUUGCCUAAGAGGCAAAUGUUUUAGUGAUGUGCACAAUGAAAACACUACAAAUUCCAACUGGUAUGUGAUGCUGUUCUAAAUGUGGGAGUGACAGAGAUGGAGUUGAGAUGUUGUUGAUCACAGCAGGAAAUGUCAUCAUAAGAAUUUUGUAAAUGAAGAUUUAAUAAGUUCAUGUGGAUAGACCACUUAGAACACUGCCUUCCACAGAGCAGAUCCGAGUUUUGCUGGAUACAAAAUUCUCGGUUGGCAGUUAUGCUGUUUAAGAAGGCUAAAGAUAGGACCACAAUCUCUUCUGGCUGGUAAAGUUUCUGCUGAGUACUUUUCUAUAUUUAUGAAAGAAAGUAAUAUAUUACCAUUAGAUGAAUUCUAAAAUUUGUCUCAAUUUUUAUACUAAAGAGUAUACUCUUUGUUUUAUAGAUGAAGAAGCUGAAAUCUAAAAUUGGUAGUGAAUUGUCCAAGGUCAGAUGCAUAAUAAAUGGCAGAAAUGUACUAAAAUCUAGAUUUUGAUUCCAUAACUAAUGUACCUUUCACAAUAGUUACUCACUUUGUUGCCUCGUAACAGUGGACACUUUAUAGCUCAUCACAAUGAAGAGUAAUUUGAACAUCCUUGGAUUUCCAAUUCUACUUUUUGACUCCAAUAGCAAUAAAAACUGAUAUCAUUUUAUAGUAAAAAACACUAUAGACAAAGUUCAUUGAGCCCUGAUAGCUCCUAUUUGUCAAUUUUAAUGUAGAUUUAUUAUGAAUAUGAUUGCCCUAAUGAAUAUCUGUUUAUUGUUGUCAAAGCCACAUAAUGAAGAACCUGUAAUGAUUUGGACAUUAAGCUGAGUCCAUGUUCAAUGAACAUGUCUAAUUUAUGUUAAUACAAACUGCAUCAGUAGAGUUGGAGCCAUGGAUUUUCGAUAAAGCAUGAACUAAAGCCAGUAUUUAAAUUUUUAAACAUAAUUUGUUUAUGUAAUUGUAUAAUGUGCCUUUUUCUUAUAAACUAUAACUAUUAACUUGUUCAUUUUUUGAAUGUAUACCUAAAAAAGCAUUUGCCACAUGCAAGACAGGAUUUGUAAGAAUAAUAUUAUUAAGUAUUAUUCUAAAGUUAUAUUUUACUACUCUUCCCAGUUUAAGGAUAUAGUGAGUACUAAUUUUUUUCCUGUAAAUUUUGUUUUAGCAUUUUGGGAUAUUUCUACUCACAAAUAUUUACUUCAAUAAUUAUGUCCUUAUGUAUUUUCUGUUAGUUUUCUGUGACUCAACUCUUUAAAUUUCUAAACUUAAGAACAUUUUGAGAAAACCACAAUUUUCAAUUUUAUAAAGAUAAGCACCUGCUUGUUUGUAAGCUUAUGAAAAUCUUAUACAAAACUUUUUGCUUGGCGGAGAUGUGGAGCAAGAUGGCAAGUAGAAUCCUUGACUGAUCAUUGUCCCUGUGGGAAUACCACAUUGAACAACACCCCCACACAGAAAAAAGCACUUUCAUAGGAACCAGAAAUCAGGUGAGUAGUCCGAGUACCUGGUUUUAACUUCAUAUCACUGAUAUAGUCACUUAAAAGAGUAAGAAAGAGAGUCUUGACUUACCAGUACCAAUCCUUUCCCAUCCCCCUGACAGUGGUUGAUUGUUGUGGAGACAGAAUCUUUGUGCUUGGGGAAGGGAGAGCACAAUGAUGGUGGGAUUUUGGCAUUGAAACUCAGAGUUGCCCUGUCAGAACAGUAGUACCAGGCAGAAUUCAGUUGUUUCCCACAGAAGGAGCAUUUAGACCAGUCCUAGCCAAAAGGGAAUCACCCAACUCAGUGGUCAGAAUUGAUUUCUAGGAAGCCUUGCCACAAUGUGCUAAAGUGUGCUGUGAUCCUAAAUAAACUUGCCAGGCAGUCUAUGCCACAAGGUCUGCAAUUCCUGGGAAAGUCCAGGUGCUAAGCUGGGCUCAGAGCCAGUGGUCUUGUGGGGCACAUAACCCAUUGAGACACCAGCUGGGACAGACAAGGGAGUUCUUGCACCACCCAUAACCCAACCCAAGGCAGUGCUGCUUGCAGCUCCAGGAGUUACUCUUGCCUUCUGCUUGAGGAACAGAGAAAGGAGAGUAAAAAGGGCUUUGUCUUACAACUUAGAAAUCAGCUUAAUCACAGUAGGAUAGGACACCAGGCAGAGUCCUGAGGCCCCGAUUCUAGGCCCUAGUUUAUUGGCAAUAUUUUUAUACACACACUGGGUCAGAAGGAAAUCUGCUGCCUUGAAGGGAAUUACCCAUCCCUGGCAGCAUCAUCGCUUACUAACUAAAGAGAUUUUGGGCCCUGAAUAAUCAGCAGCAGUACCCAGGAAGUACUCAUGGUAGUACUUGAGUGAGACUAAGAGACAUGCCAGAUUCAGAUGUGACACAGAACACUUUCAGCUGUAAUGGCUAUGGGGAGAGACGCCUGCUUGAGAAAAGAGGAGCAAGAGUAAAGGGGAAUUUGUCUUGAAGCUUAGGUAUCAGCUUGGCAACAGCGGGGUAGAGCAAAAAGGGAACUCUUGGGGUCUCUGAUUCCAGGACUUAGCUCUUGAGUGGCAUUUCUGGGCCACCUUGGACCAGAAGGGAGCCCACUUCCCUAAAAGGAGAGUACAAGGCCUGGCAACAUUCACCAUAAGCUUAACGAAGAGCCCUAUGGCCUUCAGUGGACAUUGGUGUUAGCCAGGAAUACUCACCAUAGCUCAGGGGCACUGGUGGUCAUGGAGAGAGACUCCUCUGCUUGUGAAAGUGGAGGGAAGAGUGGGAAAGAAUUUGUCUUAUGGCUUGGAUGCCAGCUCAGUUGCAGUAGAGUAGAAUGCCAGGUAGAGUCCUAAGAUUUCUGACUGCAGGCUCUGGCUCCCAGAUGGCAUCUCUGGACCUGCCCAGUGUCAGGAAGAACUUGUCACCCUGAAGGAAAGGAUACAAGCCUGGCUAGCUUUGCCACUUGGUGAUUGUAGCUUCCUCAGGCCUUGAACAAACAUAAGUGGUAGUGAGGCAGUGAUUACUGCAGACCUUAGGCAAGAACCUGUGCUGUGCUGGCUUCAGUUCUGACCCAGCACAGUCCCAGUGGUGGUGGUCACAGGGGUGCUUAUGAUACAACUCCACCAGCUCCAGGAAGCUCACCACAGACAGAGAGAGUCAAUUUUUUUUUUUUUUUUUUUUGUGCGGGGAGAAAGU
RNAcentral lists this long non-coding RNA (6880 nucleotides) under Homo sapiens (human). Its description in RNAcentral is "HSALNT0374305". Lineage: Eukaryota; Metazoa; Chordata; Mammalia; Primates; Hominidae. The record is from RNAcentral.